This 5211-nucleotide long non-coding RNA is filed under the name Nicotiana benthamiana. RNAcentral describes it as "long non-coding RNA (NBEN_LNC009987)". Lineage: Eukaryota; Viridiplantae; Streptophyta; Magnoliopsida; Solanales; Solanaceae. The record is from RNAcentral.
GUAUACUGGGUAGUUGUUGUUGUUGUUGUUGUAGUACAAAACAUGCCCUUUUUUUGUACUCUAUAGUAGUAGCUAGCUCUCUUUUUUUCAUAGCAAUUCGUGCUAUGAGUAUUCUUAGACCGGAUUCUCUUGAAGGAUAAUCACUUUAGUUAUUCUUUUUUGUAGGUGGAUUAGAUCAAGAAAUAAAUGAUGAAGAACUAGACCUUACUUUAGAUAAUUUUGAAUUGUUAUAGAUGAAUAUUAUGAAUCUUUUGUUACUAAUAUUUUUUUAAACUUAUUUACCCUCUUGAAAUGUACUAAACUUAUGCACUCAUGAGGUAGAGCAUUUGCUUUAUGGAUAGUAUUAUUUACUUGAUGGAUAAUUUUAUAUUAUUAAUAGUUUCAUUUUAUGAUGCAUUUAAAUUUUAGUGUUAUUAUAAUUUAUUAUAUGUAUAAAUUUUAUUUAUAACAGGUGAUAUAUUUUGGUUUUAAUUGAACUAAUACAAUAGCCUACCUAAACCAUUGCAAUAGAAUACAAAUGGUGUUCCAGUAGACAAUGUAAACUGUUGCAAUAGGCGUCAUAAAUUGUUCUAAAAUAAUCUACAAAAACGUUCCAAAUACAAAUAUAACCGUUACGAUAGCUUAAAGAAACCGUUGCUAUAUCCAAUAUAACUAUAGCAAUAGCUUACAUAAGUAUUGCUUUAAAUAAUAUGGCAACAAUUAAGAACCAUUGUAUAAACAAUGUAGUAGUGGUUUUAAACCGUUCCAAUUGAAAAAAAUAAUCGUUCCAAAAAAGAAGGAAAAAACCGUUGCAAUAGACAUAUCUAUUGUCACGGGGAUGCAAACCGUUGCAAGAACUGUUCCAGUAGACCUAUGGGUACGCCGGUUGAUUUACCGGAUGGUAAACCGUUCCAAAAUCGCUACGGUAACGGUUUGGCAGUCUAUGGGGACAGUUUUCCAACCGUUAAUUUUUCAAUAGUGAUCCAUUUUCCAUUUCCUUGUGCCCUAGUUUCAGUAUUUGGUUGCAUUUCACUCGCCUGUGAGUUACCCACUGACUGGGUUGCUGUUUCUUUGUUCUGAUUAACAUUGAUCUGCAUAAUUCCUGCUAUAGUUGCACCUGAAAGAGGUGUAUUAAGUCCACUCCUUUGAUUUGAUAAUUUCGGCCUGGUUCAUCAUUGUUCACUUCGCCCUAUAUUUACUUGCUACACCUAUUCUUUUCGCAAUAGCCUCAAUGGCUACUGUCGCUUCGUUGUUUUGCUUCUUCGCCGGCCUUUCUUUAGCCAUUUCCAAUGGUUGGGCAGGUAAAAUCACUGUCGUGCACCCAGAGAGAAAAAGUAGAGAGAGAAAUAAUAUAAUGAUUUUAAGCGUUCUGUCAAUUACGUUGCUGGUCAGGUUCAUCUAAUUUGAUCGAUGGUAAUGGAUGGAUUUCAAUAGACAAAAAAAACUAAAAAAGAACAAAAGUUGUAGUCUACUGUGGAAAUUUGCAAUUUGACUAGAUUGUGCGUUAGUGGUGUUGAGUUGUCCCACAUCGUAGGGAUUUGAGGUCCUUGGUCUCUUUAUAUGUCUUGGGCAAUCCUCACCUCAUAAGCUAGCUUUUGGGGUUGAGUUAGGUCCAAUGUCCAUUAUUAUCAUGGUAUCACACCCAGACCCAUCCUAAUUACUGUUACCGAUGUUGGGCCCCCAUUUAUGUUGUCCACGCUCCAGAGAUCUGGGUGUGAUGGGGGGUGUUGAGUUGUCCCGCAUCGGAGGGAUUUGAGGUCCUUGGUCUCCUUAUAUGGCUUGGACAAUCCUCACCUCAUAAGCUAGCUUUUGGGGUUGAGUUAGGUCCAAUGUCCAUUAUUAUCAUGGUAUCACACCCAGACCCAUCCUAAUUACUGUUACCGAUGUUGGGCCCCCAUUUAUGUUGUCCACGCUCCAGAGAUCUGGGUGUGAUGGGGGGUGUUGAGUUGUCCUACAUCGAAGGGAUUUGAGGUCCUUGGUCUCUUUAUAUGGCUCGAAAAACAUAGGGAUAAACAAAAAAUCCUCACCCGAUGGAGGCAAAAAUCAGAACAGAAUAUAAACUGAAGCAUUUCAGUCAACAGUCAAAUGAUGACACAUUUGAACUGGCAUGGUACAACCUGUACUUAAUUAGUAGUACCAGGUUUUUAAUGUGUCUUUGACUCAUGUCUUAAUGAAAAUUAUUGUGAGACAAAUUAUACCACCAAAACAUUCCAUCACGAUAUACGGAGAGGAUGUUUGGAUUAAAUUAUUUUAAGUAUUUAUUGAUUUUUAAGGAUGUUUUUAGAUUGUGUAGUAUUUAACAAUGAUAAAAAGUGUUUAAAAGUACUUAUUUAUAAAAAUAAAAAGUAUAAAAAUAAGCCAAAAGCUAAAAAUUAAAUAUUAUCAACUUAUGACUUUUGAUUUUUAGCUUAAAAGCAACAUUUUAUAAGUCAAUUCAAACACAGUAAGUACGAAAAGGAAAAGCUGCCAAAGGCGUUGGGUUUCCAAUAUGUAAAAUUAUGAAUUUUUAAGUUUACACACUAAAAAUGUAAUUAAAAAAAAGUUUGUAUAAUCUUUAAAUAUUUUUUACGCUAUCAAAAUAUAGAACUUGUACACUAAUAUAGAAAGUUUAUUAAAUUAUCUCUUUCCACCUCAACCACCUUACUUUAGUCUGAAAAUAGAAACUAAGUGGCCAAAAAAAUCAUAAUAUGCAGUGUUUAGUAAUUUUCUAGACAUUAUUGUUCAAUCGGGCCUUUUUCACUGCUUGUUUAAUCCUGUAAAGGAAAAUCACUUAAAUUUAGAACUUCACAUACUUUCUUUUCCAUAUAACGUCCAAAUUAAUGUUUUUGUAUCAUAUGUGUGCUGUCUUUUUUACCAAAAGAAAAGGUCACAAUAUGUAGACCACGCAUUCUAGUCUACAUCUCUAGUUGCUGAAAUUAAAACCUAUUGAUUUGUUCAUGCAUUUAGAUCUUUCAUAGCUGAUAGUAUGUAAAUAAAACUAUAUACACUAUAGUUGAUGCUCAAUGCAUGCUGAAUGGUAUCCUUCAUUGAAUACGGAAAUCUAUUUGUAUUUAUACUGAUGCAUAUUUCAACGGAAAUUUAUAUGUAUUAUACUGAUAUACAUAUGCGUAGAUAAUAUAUUUUUCUAAAAAAACAAUACGCAUAUAAACCAUAGGUCGAGAUAGUCUAGGAAAAAUAAUUACUACAAAAUAAACAUCAGUUUGAAAUAAAAACUAAAACCUUAAAACCUCAAAGCCCCAAAUUCAAAAUCAAUAUAUAAAGGUCGAAUGAUAAGCAUCCAUGUGUUCGAGAGAUAGAAAACGAUCGCUGUGGCGGGAUUUACCAGGUAGGUAUAAUUCAACGGGACCCUAAAACAAAAGCGGAUGGGCCUUCCUUAAGAAAAAAGCCAAUCUGAUUUCGGGGGCAUGUAGGCGGAGAAAGGCUGGGAAACUAUAAGGUCUCGUAGGAAAAAGACAAAACGUAGGUAGGCUGCCACGCGGAGUGAAGGUAACUAGCCAAUUCCCCAAGGUCUAGUAAACUAAGGUGGUAGUGCAGACAAGGUUAAUUCACUCUGGGAUUGGUAGUCCCGUCUGCUCUGACGUCGGAAUAAUCAUUAUAAUACGAUGAUAGCACCUGAUUAGCAAGAAAUUCCCUGCUCUCCUCUUAGCAAUGAUCUGUCUAGGGCUACUUUCAAAACUGCGGAUUCUGUAAUAAGACCCUAUUCAUGGGCAAUAGGCUGCCACGCGGAAGUGAAGGUAACUAGCCAAUAUUACUCACGCAAAAUUCUGCUAAUUACACUACUGUGAUAGGGAUGAGAUGAGUAGGCUAGUACAAUAUAUGUCAUAGGAUAAAGUUGAGAAACGUGAUAUAACAAGCUUUGUUUCUUUUUUUAUUUCUUAUGAACAAGCUUUUAGAACGUGGUAUGUCUUGUUUGUAGCCUAGAGAGGAAAAGCAAAUUGUCAGAUAAAGAAGAAUAUCCCCACACAAAUAUUGAAUCGACAUGAACAUGCUUCCCACUUUUAAAUAUGUAAAACAAUUAUUUUAAAAAUAAAGAAAAUCAAUACAUCCCGAAAGACUGAUGAAUUUUGUAGCUGAAUAGCAAGAAUUCAAGUAAAGCUGUUAAUAUGGUUGUCUGAGUUUUAGUAGAUGGGAAAUAAGUAAAAUUCUGUAUAUUCGUAAGAUUUUCAGGCCAAGACGAAGAAUAAGAUGAACUACUUCUUCAAUAAAUUAAUUAAAAUACCGCAAUUAAUAUUCUAAUUCACCAAAAAAAAGGAAAAUAUAUAAAUAGUAGAAUAUUUCCGACAAUUUCAAAAUCUUGGCUAUGAUGCAAUGGUCAAAUCAAAGUAAAAUUAUUAUGCAUUUAGGGCUAAAUUCACAUAUAGGAAAUCAACAAUUCUACUAUGCUAGAAUGUGAAAGUCAUAAACAAAAAUGAUGAACGAAAUAAGCAAUAUAAUGGCAAUGCUGACUUAGUAAAAUGAUAAUCAUAUUAAAACAACAACGUUUCUCCCUCUCUUCUAUACCCAAAUGUACCCAACCAUUUUCCCCUAAACUACAAGGAGGAAAUUCUUUCCAGAAAAAUGGAAAAAAAGAAAAAUAAAAAAUUUGUCAUUGGUUCCUCAUGUACGAGGACUCCAACAUUGUAACCCCCACCCAAAACCUAAUAGACAUUCUGAAAAAUACAUCAAGAAAAAUCGCAAUGUCACGCAUAUAUAUACAUACAACAUAAAAUUAAUAUUAAAAUUAAAAUUCACUCACUGGAACUAGAAAUAGUACUGAGGUUCCUCAACUUCAGCUUCUUCGUCAACUCUGAAAUUUGUCUUCAUAUAUAAUUAAGACAACUUGAUUUGAUGAGAUAAAAGGGAUCCGAGGUUCCUCUCAGCGCAAAAUUAUAGAUUUCUUUCAACCUUUUGACUGUAAAAAUAGCAGGCUGAAAUUUUCUUGCAGCUGACAUGAUCACUCCGAUCCACCUCCUCCCAUCAAUAUGAAGUCAUGUUCUUUUUUCUCUACAGUCUUGACAUUUUAGUAGAAGGGAGAAAAAUAAGACAAAUAAAAAACUAUGUUUGCUCGGAUCCUUUAAAAAUUUCAUCUAACGCAUUUUCUCAGGAACUGACACAGGUUCGACGAUAUUCCUAGAGGAUCCGAACAUAGCUAAAAGGUACCUACCUAGCUACGAAAGACACAUGUUAAUAAAAGGAGAGGGAGAUCAAGAUAAAAGAAAAAAGGAAAAAAAAAAGAGACAAAUUAAUGCACUG